AGGUAAGCUACUAAGAGCGAAUGGUGGAUGCCUUGACUGGUAAAGGCGAUGAAGGACGUACUAGACUGCGAUAAGCUACGGGGAGCUGUCAAGAAGCUUUGAUCCGUAGAUUUCCGAAUGGGGCAACCCAAUGUAUAGAGAUAUACAUUACCUAUAUAGGAGCGAACGAGGGGAAUUGAAACAUCUUAGUACCCUCAGGAAAAGAAAUCAAUAGAGAUUGCGUCAGUAGCGGCGAGCGAAAGCGCAAGAGGGCAAACCCAGUGCUUGCACUGGGGGUUGUAGGACUGCAAUGUGCAAGAGCUGAGUUUAGCAGAACAUUCUGGAAAGUAUAGCCAUAGAGGGUGAUAGUCCCGUAUGCGAAAAACAAAGCUUAGCUAGCAGUAUCCUGAGUAGGGCGGGACACGAGGAAUCCUGUCUGAAUCCGGGUCGACCACGAUCCAACCCUAAAUACUAAUACCAGAUCGAUAGUGCACAAGUACCGUGAGGGAAAGGUGAAAAGAACUGAGGUGAUCAGAGUGAAAUAGAACCUGAAACCAUUUGCUUACAAUCAUUCAGAGCACUAUGUAGCAAUACAGUGUGAUGGACUGCCUUUUGCAUAAUGAGCCUGCGAGUUGUGGUGUCUGGCAAGGUUAAGCAAACGCGAAGCCGUAGCGAAAGCGAGUCUGAAUAGGGCGCUUAGUCAGAUGCUGCAGACCCGAAACGAAGUGAUCUAUCCAUGAGCAAGUUGAAGCUAGUGUAAGAACUAGUGGAGGACUGAACCCAUAGGCGUUGAAAAGCCCCGGGAUGACUUGUGGAUAGGGGUGAAAGGCCAAUCAAACUUCGUGAUAGCUGGUUCUCUCCGAAAUAUAUUUAGGUAUAGCGUUGUGUCGUAAUAUAAGGGGGUAGAGCACUGAAUGGGCUAGGGCAUACACCAAUGUACCAAACCCUAUCAAACUCCGAAUACCUUAUAUGUAAUCACAGCAGUCAGGCGGCGAGUGAUAAAAUCCGUCGUCAAGAGGGAAACAACCCAGACUACCAGCUAAGGUCCCUAAAUCUUACUUAAGUGGAAAACGAUGUGAAGUUACUUAAACAACCAGGAGGUUGGCUUAGAAGCAGCCAUCCUUUAAAGAAAGCGUAAUAGCUCACUGGUCUAGUGAUUUUGCGCGGAAAAUAUAACGGGGCUAAAGUAAGUACCGAAGCUGUAGACUUGCGCACAACUUAGAUUAUUUAAGUUUAGAAUAUGAGAAACUAAGUUAUGUUUAGUUAUAUUUUUACUGAUUUUUAUAGAGUAAAGAUAGAAAUAAAACUUAGUAAAAUCAGUAAAAAUAUUCUUAGGCUAAAGUUAAGUAGUUUAAGUUGUGUGCAAGUGGUAGGAGAGCGUUCUAUUUGCGUCGAAGGUAUACCGGUAAGGAGUGCUGGAGCGAAUAGAAGUGAGCAUGCAGGCAUGAGUAGCGAUAAUUAAUGUGAGAAUCAUUAACGCCGUAAACCCAAGGUUUCCUACGCGAUGCUCGUCAUCGUAGGGUUAGUCGGGUCCUAAGUCGAGUCCGAAAGGGGUAGACGAUGGCAAAUUGGUUAAUAUUCCAAUACCAACAUUAGUGUGCGAUGGAAGGACGCUUAGGGCUAAGGGGGCUAGCGGAUGGAAGUGCUAGUCUAAGGUCGUAGGAGGUUAUACAGGCAAAUCCGUAUAACAAUACUCCGAGAACUGAAAGGCUUUUUGAAGUCUUCGGAUGGAUAGAAGAACCCCUGAUGCCGUCGAGCCAAGAAAAGUUUCUAAGUUUAGCUAAUGUUGCCCGUACCGUAAACCGACACAGGUGGGUGGGAUGAGUAUUCUAAGGCGCGUGGAAGAACUCUCUUUAAGGAACUCUGCAAAAUAGCACCGUAUCUUCGGUAUAAGGUGUGGUUAGCUUUGUAUUAGGAUUUACUCCGAAAGCAAGGAAACUUACAACAAAGAGUCCCUCCCGACUGUUUACCAAAAACACAGCACUCUGCUAACUCGUAAGAGGAUGUAUAGGGUGUGACGCCUGCCCGGUGCUCGAAGGUUAAUUGAUGGGGUUAGCAUUAGCGAAGCUCUUGAUCGAAGCCCGAGUAAACGGCGGCCGUAACUAUAACGGUCCUAAGGUAGCGAAAUUCCUUGUCGGUUAAAUACCGACCUGCAUGAAUGGCGUAACGAGAUGGGAGCUGUCUCAAAGAGGGAUCCAGUGAAAUUGUAGUGGAGGUGAAAAUUCCUCCUACCCGCGGCAAGACGGAAAGACCCCGUGGACCUUUACUACAGCUUGACACUGCUACUUGGAUAAGAAUGUGCAGGAUAGGUGGGAGGCUUUGAGUAUAUGACGCCAGUUGUAUAUGAGCCAUUGUUGAGAUACCACUCUUUCUUAUUUGGGUAGCUAACCA
RNAcentral lists this ribosomal RNA (2370 nucleotides) under Campylobacter jejuni. RNAcentral's name for it is "partial 23S ribosomal RNA". It matches the Rfam family "Bacterial large subunit ribosomal RNA", at positions 1 to 2228 of the family's 2925-position model. The record is from RNAcentral. Lineage: Bacteria; Pseudomonadati; Campylobacterota; Epsilonproteobacteria; Campylobacterales; Campylobacteraceae.